Oncorhynchus keta (chum salmon) is the source of this 2882-nucleotide long non-coding RNA. RefSeq lists it as uncharacterized. The record is from RefSeq and is a predicted model, not a curated record. The transcript is spliced from 7 exons. NCBI's taxonomy places the organism in Eukaryota, Metazoa, Chordata, Actinopteri, Salmoniformes, Salmonidae.
GUAUGUAUUAGCAGGUGUUGUAUGUAUUAGCAGGUGUUGUAUGUAUUAGCAGGUGUUGUAUGUAUUAGCAGGUGUUGUAUGUAUUAGCAGGUGUUGUAUGUAUUAGCAGGUGCUGUAUGUAUUAGCAGGUGUUGUAUGUAUUAGCAGGUGUUGUAUGUAUUAGCAGGUGUUGUAUGUAUUAGCAGGUGUUGUAUGUAUUAGCAGGUGUUGUAUGUAUUAGCAGGUGUUGUAUGUAUUAGCUGGUGUUGUAUGUAUUAGCAGGUGUUGUAUGUAUUAGCAGGUGUUGUAUGUAUUAGCAGGUGUUGUAUGUAUUAGCAGGUGUUGUAUGUAUUAGCAGGUGUUGUAUGUAUUAGCAGGUGUUGUAUGUAUUAGCAGGUGUUGUAUGUAUUAGCAGGUGUUGUAUGUAUUAGCAGGUGUUGUAUGUAUUAGCUGGUGUUGUAUGUAUUAGCAGGUGUUGUAUGUAUUAGCAGGUGUUGUAUGUAUUAGCUGGUGUUGUAUGUAUUAGCAGGUGUUGUAUGUAUUAGCAGGUGUUGUAUGUAUUAGCAGGUGCUGUAUGUAUUAGCAGGUGUUGUAUGUAUUAGCAGGUGUUGUAUGUAUUAGCAGGUGUUGUAUGUAUUAGCAGGUGUUGUAUGUAUUAGCAGGUGUUGUAUGUAUUAGCAGGUGUUGUAUGUAUUAGCAGGUGUUGUAUGUAUUAGCAGGUGUUGUAUGUAUUAGCAGGUGUUGUAUGUAUUAGCAGGUGCUGUAUGUAUUAGCAGGUGUUGUAUGUAUUAGCAGGUGUUGUAUGUAUUAGCAGGUGUUGUAUGUAUUAGCAGGUGUUGUAUGUAUUAGCAGGUGUUGUAUGUAUUAGCAGGUGUUGUAUGUAUUAGCAGGUGUUGUAUGUAUUAGCAGGUGUUGUAUGUAUUAGCAGGUGUUGUAUGUAUUAGCUGGUGUUGUAUGUAUUAGCAGGUGUUGUAUGUAUUAGCAGGUGUUGUAUGUAUUAGCAGGUGUUGUAUGUAUUAGCAGGUGCUGUAUGUAUUAGCAGGUGUUGUAUGUAUUAGCAGGUGUUGUAUGUAUUAGCAGGUGUUGUAUGUAUUAGCAGGUGUUGUAUGUAUUAGCAGGUGUUGUAUGUAUUAGCAGGUGUUGUAUGUAUUAGCAGGUGUUGUAUGUAUUAGCAGGUGUUGUAUGUAUUAGCAGGUGUUGUAUGUAUUAGCAGGUGUUGUAUGUAUUAGCAGGUGUUGUAUGUAUUAGCAGGUGUUGUAUGUAUUAGCAGGUGUUGUAUGUAUUAGCAGGUGUUGUAUGUAUUAGCAGGUGUUGUAUGUAUUAGCAGGUGUUGUAUGUAUUAGCUGGUGUUGUAUGUAUUAGCAGGUGCUGUAUGUAUUAUCUGGUGUUGUAUGUAUUAGCAGGUGUUGUAUGUAUUAGCAGGUGUUGUAUGUAUUAGCAGGUGUUGUAUGUAUUAGCAGGUGUUGUAUGUAUUAGCAGGUGUUGUAUGUAUUAGCAGGUGUUGUAUGUAUUAGCAGGUGUUGUAUGUAUUAGCAGGUGUUGUAUGUAUUAGCAGGUGUUGUAUGUAUUAGCAGGUGUUGUAUGUAUUAGCAGGUGUUGUAUGUAUUAGCAGGUGUUGUAUGUAUUAGCAGGUGUUGUAUGUAUUAGCAGGUGUUGUAUGUAUUAGCAGGUGUUGUAUGUAUUAGCAGGUGUUGUAUGUAUUAGCAGGUGUUGUAUGUAUUAGCAGGUGUUGUAUGUAUUAGCUGGUGUUGUAUGUAUUAGCAGGUGUUGUAUGUAUUAGCAGGUGUUGUAUGUAUUAGCAGGUGCUGUAUGUAUUAGCAGGUGUUGUAUGUAUUAGCAGGUGUUGUAUGUAUUAGCAGGUGUUGUAUGUAUUAGCUGGUGUUGUAUGUAUUAGCAGGUGUUGUAUGUAUUAGCAGGUGUUGUAUGUAUUAGCAGGUGUUGUAUGUAUUAGCAGGUGUUGUAUGUAUUAGCAGGUGUUGUAUGUAUUAGCAGGUGUUGUAUGUAUUAGCAGGUGUUGUAUGUAUUAGCUGGUGUUGUAUGUAUUAGCAGGGUUUGUAUGUAUUAGCAGGUGUUGUAUUUAUUAGCUGGUCCUUUGGGGGUUAAUAAAGUAUUAUUUAAUCCUAGGUGUUCCACGCUCUGCCACCUUGGGACGAGAAAGAGGAGACGCUGGCUCACUACGCCCACCGCUGCAGGCAGGCCAUGGACGACACCAUCAGAGCCAAGAUCAAAACCAUGAAAACCAAGGGAGACCUGCUGCCCAUAGUCAGCAAAUGACCCCAGAGACGGAAGGUGUGUCCUCGGGAUGCCUGUAGGACAAACCAGACCAACACCAUCUGCGGUAGAUUACCUGCUCGGUGUUUUAACAUGUAGAAUGGUCAGGAAAUGAACAGAAAAUGGGGGCCGAUGUUCUGUGGUCAAAGGCGAUGGGACGGCUGUGUACGGCCUACGUUCUUCGUGUUGGUCUGUCUUGUCCUUGUGAUAAAAGCCUGGUCCACAGAUCUGUUUGUGUCGUCGUGCCAAGUUGGAAAGACGACACAAACAGGUCUGGGACCAGGCUUGCCCUCUGAUCCCCAGUGAUGCUCGACUGCCAUUUCAAAAAAAGUGAAAUGUUGUUAUUGCUCCAUUGCAUUUGUCUGCCCACCCCCACUAUGACCUUAACCCAGCAAUGAUGACAGACACCAUGACUAUCAUUAAAAAACACAUUGUAGUGCACCAAUGUUUGAUUUACUGUAAUGUGUAACAUUUAUUUAGUCUUUUGAACGAUGCGCUAAUGCUUUGAAGUGUUUUUAGUAGUGGAGAACAACAUUAGAAAAUAUUAUUCAAAUAAGGAUCUUAUUUUUGUCAAGAGAUUUUCCGGUACUUUUGGUGGUCUAUGUAAUUGUUUUUAAAGAGAUUCUCCAGUA